AUGAACAUGCUACAGGGAUACCUCACCUGGGAUAACUCUCAGACAGCCAAUUUUCCAAUGAUGCAACACAAAGCUGCAGGAGAAGAGCUAAGGCCAAGGUUCAACCAGCAUUGCAUCUGCUUGGAGAACAGAAAGCUGUGUCAGAAUUUUCCAUAUGCCCAAACAGCUCUGUACUUGGUACAAAGCCUUCAUCCACUGAGAUAAAAAUCAAAUACAUUUUGAAAAGACUGUCUACGUGCGUGGGGGCAGAAUAAUAUUUUGACAGAGGAAAUGUCUAUGUUUCUCUGCUUCAUGCUCUGCCAAAGUCACUCACCAAGGUAUGGGGGGGGGGAGGGGGGGCGGGGGGAAGGGCAGGCCUUUGGAUUUAUACACUGUUUGGCUAUGAUUCUUCCUGACUUGAGAAGGUUCUUUGGGAAGUAUUGGCUUCAACGAACACAUGUAUUGUCUAUGUUUCUCUUUGGUUAAUCAAUUUGAUUGGUGCUCUUACAAAUGUGGAAAGCCUUAUUUUUUAAGAGAUAAUGCUUGACAACCUGUCCAAUGCUCACCUCUUUAAUCUCCUAUUCUGGGCUAUAGUCACUGCUUGAGUGUUCUACAAUGAGUAGACUGCAGUGCAGGAUGCUCUUUAGGUGACAGCAGAUGUCUCCUCCAGUCCAGGAUCUAGUCAGAAGGUGUAAAGGUAUUAUCCAGUCUACCAGUCCAGUCUAAAUAAUGUCAUCAUGGGAUGGCUCACAUUCUACAUAAGAUCUGUUGAUAAGAUUGAUUUUCAUGUUGUUGUUCUGCUCUUAGACAGUUAAAAGUAUGGUUUUGGCCAUUUGUUCCUUGGUCUCAAACCUGAGGUGCCCCAGGGUGGUAGCUCACUAGUUGUCCUGACAUAUUACCGGAUCUGUGUGGCCAAACUGCUGGACUUUAAAUACCUUACUCAAAAACUCAGCUGCUCAGCUUGCAGUCCCACCCUACACAAAACCUCUCUCUGUCCCCAUUUGACCUAGAACAUUAGAGAGGAUGAGAGGGUUUGUCAGAUGCCUCAC
RNAcentral lists this long non-coding RNA (1028 nucleotides) under Anser brachyrhynchus (Pink-footed goose). Its description in RNAcentral is "lncRNA (ENSABRG00000006955.1)". The record is from RNAcentral. Lineage: Eukaryota; Metazoa; Chordata; Aves; Anseriformes; Anatidae.